RNAcentral lists this long non-coding RNA (383 nucleotides) under Amborella trichopoda. RNAcentral describes it as "long non-coding RNA (ATRI_LNC002145)". Lineage: Eukaryota; Viridiplantae; Streptophyta; Magnoliopsida; Amborellales; Amborellaceae. The record is from RNAcentral.
CUCCAUAAAAGAUAUAUUACAGAACCCCCAUAAUAUGUGUAUAAGAGCCAUAUUUUUAUAGGGUUACAAGAAUGGUAUACAACCUAUAUACAAGUUGUUCAAGCUAUUUACAAUGUCACAUACAACAUGUAUACAAGUUGUUCAAGCUAUUUACAAUGUCACUGAAAACGCAUACAGUUGUGCAUAUCUGCAUAGGUCAGAAAUAUCAGGUUGUGUAUGUCAAAAGAUCAAAUACAAUUUUUACUUUCCACAACCACAACCCAGCUCAGCCAGCUGCCUCUAUUGUAGUUUGUAUUAUGUGAGAUUAGUGAAGGUGAAUCCCAUAUUAAAAUAGCAUUCAAUAUGGGAAUGGGGGUGGGGUAACGGUGGUAGUACUAUGUGAG